RNAcentral lists this long non-coding RNA (658 nucleotides) under Homo sapiens (human). Its description in RNAcentral is "HSALNT0359334". The record is from RNAcentral. Lineage: Eukaryota; Metazoa; Chordata; Mammalia; Primates; Hominidae.
CAAGCAUUUUGUUCAAUUGCUCAGUGGGGACAAGCAGUUCAGCUCAUCAUUUAUCAGGAGCAAAGGGCUUCAGUGAAAUUCAAUAUUGUCAACGUGCUCUGGGAUGUGAAUUCCAUCCCUCCAGUCUGGGUGACACCUUCAUCUUCUCAACCAGCACUGAUAUUCCUGCCCAGGAACUUAAGAACUGCCCCUUGCUGUGGUCUGGGUCUCAAGGCUCUUUUCCUGGGAGCUUAAGACUUUUGACUUUUCCCUUGAAGGUGUCCACAUGCCUCCAUGCCUGGCUUACCUGCAGCCUGUCUAACCCCCAAGAGAUGCAUCUGAGACAGCGUCAUAACCUCUGCUUCCAAACCACCAUCGCUAAAGGCACAGUCCUGAGGGAAAUGAAUCAUCGCCUUGGAAAUUUGCAACCUAUGGGCUGAAUUCAGCUCACAGAAGUGUUUUUUCCACAGGGUGUUUUGCUUUGAUUUUUAAACUUGAAUUAGAUGCCUAUAUAAAAAAUCAGGAUAUUGAAUCUAAAAAUCCAAAUUUCUAAAUCUAAAAAUCCAAAUUUCUAACUUCUCCUGAAAAGUAGAUUGCUCCAGCAGUUCUGGCCUGUGUUUCUAUUGUAUGCUCCUACACUGUUCAACAAAAGUUCUGACAAUAAAAUUUGUUAUUUAAA